RNAcentral lists this ribosomal RNA (164 nucleotides) under uncultured bacterium. RNAcentral's name for it is "partial 16S ribosomal RNA". It matches the Rfam family "Bacterial small subunit ribosomal RNA", at positions 355 to 511 of the family's 1533-position model. The record is from RNAcentral.
UAGGGAAUCUUCCACAAUGGGCGAAAGCCUGAUGGAGCAACGCCGCGUGUGUGAUGAAGGCUUUCGGGUCGUAAAGCACUGUUGUAUGGGAAGAACAGCUAGAAUAGGAAAUGAUUUUAGUUUGACGGUACCAUACCAGAAAGCCACGGCUAACUACGUGCCAG